Molecule: long non-coding RNA, 1330 nt
Organism: Schistocerca americana (American grasshopper)
Lineage: Eukaryota; Metazoa; Arthropoda; Insecta; Orthoptera; Acrididae
Exons: 3
Source: RefSeq, a predicted model, not a curated record
UUACUUAUUUUCCAAAAAAAUUGCCUCAAUUACAAUAAUAUGACACCCCUACAAUUACUGUUUACUAACCACAGGACACUAAACAUUUGAAAUAAUUUGAUAUGUCUUAGCUGUAAAUGGUGUAGAGAAUUCUCACAGUUCUCAGUGGACUAGGCAGUAUAAUAUUCAUGUUGACUGCUUACAAAAACAGCUUAUUCUUGAUGAGUUUUGUUUAGUGAGACCUUCAUUAAUGUGUAACCAGACCAGAUAGCAGCUUAACAUCACUCACUGUGGAUAGUAGAAAACUAGAGCACAAGUAUGUUGAGUAAUUGUUCAUGGCAUGAAGACUUGAUUUCAGUAAAAUUUUGGGUAACAUUUGUGAUAAAUGUGGUUGUUCGGAUGGAUAAUGAUAUAUGAUAUUGUCAAUACACAGUGACCAAAUGUGUUAUCAAUAAGGCUCAUCAAUUUGGAAAUUCUCUUUUGAUAUAUGUGGCCUUGUGAUCCAUUUAAUGUAGAAAUGAAUUCCAGUUUGCUACAAUUAAAUGUUUAAUGAAAAAACAGCAGAAUAAAACUCUUUAGUAUUUAUGUAGUCAGUUCAGUUGAUUAGCCUCCUUGUAAGUCAUCAGUCAUGUUUCAUUAAAUGUCACAUUAUUAGAUCUGCAUGGAACAAUUUCAGUUAUAUGUUGAUAAAAUAUUAUAUACAACAUUGGGUCAUAUAGUUACUGGUUUGUCCUCUCUGCAGCCAUGCUCAAAGCAAUCUGAGGUCUAAUACACAACUAAAAUGAGGGAAUUUUACAGGUGCCUCACAACUCUGGUACAGAAAUCCCGAGGACUAGGAAGACGCCUGACAACUCAGUGAUAGAAAUCAACAGGACUGAGAUCAUAAUUUUUUAUGAUGAGAGUAGUAAUAUCGAUAGCCCACCAUGUACAUCAAAUAGUGAACGCCCAGAUAUCACAAUUGAUAAUAUGGAUGUGGUGGUAGUUAACAACAGUGCUGAAUUUGAGGUGCCUAGUACUCCAGUGGUUUCUGGUGCAUAUUCCACUACACCAAAAGUUCGGAAGAUGAGAAAGAGUGAUAGUAAUCCCUUACUAAAUACAGUACUGGAGAACUUAAACUCAAAAUUAACCCAAAAGGCAUUAGACCCAUCUCCACAUGAUGCUUUGGGACACUUCAUUGUUGAAGAGUUGUCCAGAAUAAGAAAUCCAAUGACUGUGAGAGACACAAAACAUAAGAUACUGAAAUUUAUCAUGGAAGCUCAAAUAAUGGAUGAUAAUUGUUGAAUUGUAUGCAUUUAGUGUUUAUUACUUUGAAAAUACAUUACCAUUCAAAAAUUGAAGUUUUUAAUUGACU